UACGGAGGGUGCAAGCGUUGUUCGGAAUUAUUGGGCGUAAAGCGCGUGUAGGCGGUUGUUUAAGUCUGAUGUGAAAGCCCCGGGCUCAACCCGGGAAGUGCAUUGGAAACUGGGCAACUUGAGUACGGGAGAGGGAAGUGGAAUUUCGAGUGUAGGGGUGAAAUCCGUAGAUAUUCGAAGGAACACCGGUGGCGAAGGCGGCUUCCUGGACCGAUACUGACGCUGAGACGCGAAAGCGUGGGGAGCAAACAGGAUUAGAUACCCUGGUAGUCCACGCCGUAAACGAUGGGCACUAGGUGUUGCGGGUAUUGACCCCUGCAGUGCCGAAGCUAACGCAUUAAGUGCCCCGCCUGGGGAGUACGGCCGCAAGGCUAAA
This 376-nucleotide ribosomal RNA is filed under the name uncultured bacterium. RNAcentral's name for it is "bacterial SSU rRNA". It matches the Rfam family "Bacterial small subunit ribosomal RNA", at positions 524 to 898 of the family's 1533-position model. The record is from RNAcentral.